UACGUAGGGGGCAAGCGUUGUCCGGAAUCAUUGGGCGUAAAGAGCGCGUAGGCGGCCCAGUAAGUCCGCUCUGAAAGUCAGGGGCUCAACCCCUGGAUGCGGGUGGAUACUGCUGGACUAGAGUUCGGAAGAGGCGAGUGGAAUUCCCGGUGUAGCGGUGAAAUGCGCAGAUAUCGGGAGGAACACCAAUGGCGAAGGCAGCUCGCUGGGACGUUACCGACGCUGAGACGCGAAAGCGUGGGGAGCAAACAGG
This 253-nucleotide ribosomal RNA is filed under the name uncultured bacterium. Its description in RNAcentral is "partial 16S ribosomal RNA". It matches the Rfam family "Bacterial small subunit ribosomal RNA", at positions 524 to 776 of the family's 1533-position model. The record is from RNAcentral.